Gossypium arboreum is the source of this 341-nucleotide long non-coding RNA. RefSeq lists it as uncharacterized. The record is from RefSeq and is a predicted model, not a curated record. Lineage: Eukaryota; Viridiplantae; Streptophyta; Magnoliopsida; Malvales; Malvaceae. The transcript has 2 exons.
AAAGAGAAACGUGAUUCGGGCCUUGAUCGAGGGAAGAACAAAAUUUACGAGGAUUAGGCUCAUUCUCAUCAUUUUGUGCCGAGUGCCGCCAAAGUAGUUCGAGGAUAGUCGCCUACGUCGGAGAAGCUAGUCACACUAUCCUCAAAGCUCUUGGUAUAACUAGUUUUAUCAUUUUGAUUAUGGCAUGUAUAGGUAUCUUUGAUUUUAUUUUUGUGUCACAUUAUUUUGGGGCCAAAAGUGUUGGCUUGUUUUAGCACUUGACUCAUUUUGUAUAAGGCCAUGAAAAUGGCUAAUAUUGUAAGUCAUUAUAUGAAUGCAAAAUAGUCUUUGCGAAUGUGAAA